RNAcentral lists this long non-coding RNA (235 nucleotides) under Dermacentor andersoni. RNAcentral describes it as "uncharacterized LOC126547882". The record is from RNAcentral. Lineage: Eukaryota; Metazoa; Arthropoda; Arachnida; Ixodida; Ixodidae.
CCAAUGCGAUCAACUUUGCUACAUAGUAAAUUAUCGUUGUCACGAAAUGAAGCCACGCAUUGAGCGCUGAAGAAAAUAAAUAUAUUUAUUAGAAUAGCUGUAUAGCGGUAGUGGUAUGUAUAUAUAUAUAUAUAUAUGUAUAUGUGUGUGUGUGUCAAAAUAUUGUUUCUCGGAAACAACUUUCAAUGCGCCGUGUUUUAUGAAAGCGCGCAGGGCUGUCUGUGCUUUCGACAUC